UCGUGCAGCCGGGGCGUUAGCGGUGUCUUGUACCCACAAUCCGCUAUAGUGGGGGUGAUAAACGACGGAGGGUCUGCGUUUGUGCAGCUGCCCUUUAUAAGUGGCGUUGAAGUUUGGGUCUCGCGCAAUAUGUGCCGUUGAACC
Molecule: signal recognition particle RNA, 144 nt
Filed under: Lachnospiraceae bacterium
Lineage: Bacteria; Bacillati; Bacillota; Clostridia; Lachnospirales; Lachnospiraceae
Description: partial signal recognition particle sRNA large type
Rfam family: Bacterial large signal recognition particle RNA
About the family: The signal recognition particle (SRP) is a universally conserved ribonucleoprotein involved in the co-translational targeting of proteins to membranes. Archaeal SRP consists of a 7S RNA and homologues of the eukaryotic SRP19 and SRP54 proteins.
Source: RNAcentral